Molecule: small RNA, 41 nt
Filed under: Arabidopsis thaliana (thale cress)
Lineage: Eukaryota; Viridiplantae; Streptophyta; Magnoliopsida; Brassicales; Brassicaceae
Description: ATSL163520
Source: RNAcentral
AAAACAAAAAGAAAAAUUCCAUUUUCCUUCCUCAUUCAUUG